This is a long non-coding RNA of Pecten maximus, 1874 nucleotides long. RefSeq lists it as uncharacterized. The record is from RefSeq and is a predicted model, not a curated record. The transcript is spliced from 3 exons. Lineage: Eukaryota; Metazoa; Mollusca; Bivalvia; Pectinida; Pectinidae.
CUGGCUAUAACACUAAGGAUAUAGGAGGUUAAGGAUAGGACACAGAGACAAUAACAGUUCAUACACUGGCUAUAACACUAAGGAUAUAGGAGGUUAAGGAUCAUACACUGGCUAUAACACUAAGGAUAUAGGAGGUUAAGGAUCAUACCCUGGCUAUAACACUAAGGAUAUAGGAGGUUAAGGAUAGGACAAAGACAAUAACAGUUCAUACCCUGGCUAUAACACUAAGGAUAUAGGAGGUUAAGGAUCAUACACUGGCUAUAACACUAAGGAUAUAGGAGGUUAAGGAUAGGACACAGAGACAAUAACAGUUCAUACACUGGCUAUAACACUAAGGAUAUAGGAGGUUAAGGAUCAUACACUGGCUAUAACACUAAGGAUAUAGGAGGUUAAGGAUAGGACACAGAGACAAUAACAGUUCAUACCCUGGCUAUAACACUAAGGAUAUAGGAGGUUAAGGAUAGGACACAGACAAUAACAGUUCAUACACUGGCUAUAACACUAAGGAUAUAGGAGGUUAAGGAUAGGACACAGACAAUAACAGUUCAUACACUGGCUAUAACACUAAGGAUAUAGGAGGUUAAGGAUAGGACACAGAGACAAUAACAGUUCAUACACUGGCUAUAACACUAAGGAUAUAGGAGGUUAAGGAUCAUACCCUGGCUAUAACACUAAGGAUAUAGGAGGUUAAGGAUAGGACACAGACAAUAACAGUUCAUACACUGGCUAUAACACUAAGGAUAUAGGAGGUUAAGGAUCAUACUCUGGCUAUAACACUAAGGAUAUAGGAGGUUAAGGAUCAUACCCUGGCUAUAACACUAAGGAUAUAGGAGGUUAAGGAUCAUACCCUGGCUAUAACACUAAGGAUAUAGGAGGUUAAGGAUAGGACACGGAGACAAUAACAGUUCAUACACUGGCUAUAACACUAAGGAUAUAGGAGGUUAAGGAUAGGACACAGAGACAAUAACAGUUCAUACCCUGGCUAUAACACUAAGGAUAUAGGAGGUUAAGGAUCAUACCCUGGCUAUAACACUAAGGAUAUAGGAGGUUAAGGAUAGGACACAGAGACAAUAACAGUUCAUACCCUGGCUAUAACACUAAGGAUAUAGGAGGUUAAGGAUCAUACCCUGGCUAUAACACAAAGGAUAUAGGAGGUUAAGGAUAGGACACAGAGACAAUAACAGUUCAUACACUGGCUAUAACACUAAGGAUAUAGGAGGUUAAGGAUCAUACCCUGGCUAUAACACUAAGGAUAUAGGAGGUUAAGGAUAGGACACAGACAAUAACAGUUCAUACACUGGCUAUAACACUAAGGAUAUAGGAGGUUAAGGAUCAUACUCUGGCUAUAACACUAAGGAUAUAGGAGGUUAAGGAUCAUACCCUGGCUAUAACACUAAGGAUAUAGGAGGUUAAGGAUCAUACCCUGGCUAUAACACUAAGGAUAUAGGAGGUUAAGGAUAGGACACAGAGACAAUAACAGUUCAUACACUGGCUAUAACACUAAGGAUAUAGGAGGUUAAGGAUAGGACACAGAGACAAUAACAGUUCAUACCCUGGCUAUAACACUAAGGAUAUAGGAGGUUAAGGAUCAUACCCUGGCUAUAACACUAAGGAUAUAGGAGGUUAAGGAUAGGACACAGAGACAAUAACAGUUCAUACCCUGGCUAUAACACUAAGGAUAUAGGAGGUUAAGGAUAGGACACAGACAAUAACGGUUCAUACCCUGGCUAUAACACUAAGGAUAUAGGAGGUUAAGGAUCAUACCCUGGCUAUAACACUAAGGAUAUAGGAGGUUAAGGAUAGGACACAGACAAUAACAGUUCAUACACUGGCUAUAACACUAAGGAUAUAGGAGGUUAAGGAUAGGACACAGA